RNAcentral lists this transfer RNA (72 nucleotides) under Nomada flavoguttata. Its description in RNAcentral is "tRNA-Lys". Lineage: Eukaryota; Metazoa; Arthropoda; Insecta; Hymenoptera; Apidae. The record is from RNAcentral.
CAUUAGAUGUCUGAAGAUUUAAGAAUUGAUUUUUUAAAUCAAAAUAUAGUAUUUAAAAUAUACUUCUAAUGA